UGCAAGUCGAACGCGAAAGUAGCCGCAAGGCUGCGAGUAGAGUGGCGAAAGGGUGAGUAAUGCUUGGAUGACCUACCCUCGAGACGGGGAUAACAGUUCGAAAGGACUGCUAAUACCCGAUAGUCCGACUCGGAUGCGUCCGGAUCGGUAAACGGUUGAUUCCGCUCGUGGAGGGGUCCAAGUCCUAUCAGCUAGUUGGUGAGGUAACGGCUCACCAAGGCUACGACGGGUAGGCGGUCUGAGAGGACGACCGCCCACAUCGGGACUGAGACACUGCCCGGACUCCUACGGGAGGCUGCAGUCGAGAAUCUUCUGCAAUGGGGGCAACCCUGACAGAGCGACGCCGCGUGGAGGAUGAAGGCCCUCGGGUUGUAAACUCCUGUCACAUGUUAAGAAUCGCACGAGUUCACUCGUGCGUUGACUAAGGCAUGAGAGGAAGUCACGGCUAACUUCGUGCCAGCAGCCGCGGUAAGACGAAGGUGGCAAGCGUUAUUCGGAUUUACUGGGCAUAAAGCGCGCGUAGGCGGCUUGGCAAGUCGGGGGUGAAAGCCCGCAGCUCAACUGCGGAACUGCCUUCGAUACUGCCGAGCUUGAGGGCGGGAGGGGUGAUUGGAACUCCAGGUGUAGCGGUGAAAUGCGUAGAUAUCUGGAGGAACACCGGAGGCGAAGGCGAAUCACUGGACCGCAUCUG
Molecule: ribosomal RNA, 691 nt
Filed under: uncultured soil bacterium
Lineage: Bacteria
Description: bacterial SSU rRNA
Rfam family: Bacterial small subunit ribosomal RNA
Source: RNAcentral